Molecule: long non-coding RNA, 933 nt
Filed under: Monodelphis domestica (gray short-tailed opossum)
Lineage: Eukaryota; Metazoa; Chordata; Mammalia; Didelphimorphia; Didelphidae
Description: lncRNA (ENSMODG00000048828.1)
Source: RNAcentral
GAGAAAGAUGAAGUAGAUAACCUAAAGGAUGAGAAUGAGAUUCUCCGAGAUGCCCUAAGAUGUUGUACAAUACAAUUGGAGUCAGCUACUAACAAGCUUGAGGCUGCUGAGAAGGAGAUAGAGCGAAAGGAAAAAGAGGAGGAAGAUGAAGUGGAUAACCUAAAGGAUGAGAAUGAGAUUCUCCGAGAUGCCCUAAGAUGUUGUACAAUACAAUUGGAGUCAGCUACUAACAAGCUUGAGGCUGCUGAGAAGGAGAUAGAGCGAAAGGAAAAAGAGGAGGAAGAUGAAGUGGAUAAUCUAAAGGAUGAAAAUGAGAUUCUCCGAGAAACCCUAAGACAAUGUACGAAGCAGUUGGAGUCAGCUACAAACAAGCUUGAGGCUGCUGAGAAGAAGAGAGAGCAAAAGGAAAAAGAGGUGAGCAUAGCAAGGAAUUAAAUGCUGGAAAAUCAUUCAUCAGGUUACCAGGUUUCACAGAGAAAAUCUCACUCCUCUACAAUAGAAGGAAAAUGAAUCAUACUGUCUCUGGUCUCUAUACAGGAGCACUUCUAACUGAUUUCUAACUGAUUUCUCCUUUGGUUUCCAGUGUUUCUAUCCUCUUAUAACUCUGUCUUUUAAAUUUUUCCUCUUUAUGUUGUCAUUUCUCAGUGUUCCCACUUCUUGAAUUCUUAGUAUGAAUUCUAGGCUUUUUGGUGACUCCUUCAUUUCUCCCUGAAUCUAUAUUCCUUCCUUUCUCCAGAAAGAAAAGAUUUCUCUUCACAGAAGACCAAAAAUUUCAUUUUAGGAAAAGUCUUUUGGAUUAGGAAGUUAGAUAUAAUCUAGUCUUGAGAUUCUCAAUGUACUAAUUUCUAGAGUCAAAUUCCAUGAGCUUCCACAACAGUAGGUUUUACAAAUUCAAAUUCUUGGCCUUUGCAAUAAAUAGAAAGUAAUACACCA